This 79-nucleotide transfer RNA is filed under the name Deltaproteobacteria bacterium. RNAcentral describes it as "tRNA-Leu". It matches the Rfam family "tRNA". From Rfam's summary of the family: Transfer RNA (tRNA) molecules are approximately 80 nucleotides in length. Their secondary structure includes four short double-helical elements and three loops (D, anti-codon, and T loops). Further hydrogen bonds mediate the characteristic L-shaped molecular structure. tRNAs have two regions of fundamental functional importance: the anti-codon, which is responsible for specific mRNA codon recognition, and the 3' end, to which the tRNAs corresponding amino acid is attached (by aminoacyl-tRNA synthetases). tRNAs cope with the degeneracy of the genetic code in two manners: having more than one tRNA (with a specific anti-codon) for a particular amino acid; and 'wobble' base-pairing, i.e. permitting non-standard base-pairing at the 3rd anti-codon position. The record is from RNAcentral. Lineage: Bacteria; Pseudomonadati; Myxococcota; Myxococcia.
GCCCGGGUGGUGGAACGGUAGACACGGGGGACUUAAAAUCCCCUUCGAAAGAGUGCGGGUUCGAGUCCCGCCCCGGGCA